UGGGGAAUUUUGGACAAUGGGCGAAAGCCUGAUCCAGCAAUGCCGCGUGUGUGAAGAAGGCCUUCGGGUUGUAAAGCACUUUUGUCCGGAAAGAAAUCCUUGGCUCUAAUACAGUCGGGGGAUGACGGUACCGGAAGAAUAAGCACCGGCUAACUACGUGCCAGCAGCCGCGGUAAUACGUAGGGUGCAAGCGUUAAUCGGAAUUACUGGGCGUAAAGCGUGCGCAGGCGGUUUGCUAAGACCGAUGUGAAAUCCCCGGGCUCAACCUGGGAACUGCAUUGGUGACUGGCAGGCUAGAGUAUGGCAGAGGGGGGUAGAAUUCCACGUGUAGCAGUGAAAUGCGUAGAGAUGUGGAGGAAUACCGAUGGCGAAGGCAGCCCCCUGGGCCAAUACUGACGCUCAUGCACGAAAGCGUGGGGAGCAAACAGGAUUAGAUACCCUGGUAGUCCACGCCCUAAACGAUGUCAACUAGUUGUUGGGGAUUCAUUUCCUUAGUAACGUAGCUAACGCGUGAAGUUGACCGCCUGGGGGAGUACGGUCGCAAGAUUAAAACUCAAAGGAAUUGAC
This 567-nucleotide ribosomal RNA is filed under the name uncultured bacterium. Its description in RNAcentral is "partial 16S ribosomal RNA". It matches the Rfam family "Bacterial small subunit ribosomal RNA", at positions 355 to 914 of the family's 1533-position model. The record is from RNAcentral.